AUUGAACGCUAGCGGGAUGCUUUACACAUGCAAGUCGAACGGCAGCGCGGACUUCGGUCUGGCUGCGAGUGGCGAACGGGUGAGUAAUGUAUCGGAACGUGCCCAGUAGCGGGGGAUAACUACGCGAAAGCGUAGCUAAUACCGCAUACGCCCUACGGGGGAAAGCAGGGGAUCGUAAGACCUUGCACUAUUGGAGCGGCCGAUAUCGGAUUAGCUAGUUGGUGAGGUAACGGCUCACCAAGGCGACGAUCCGUAGCUGGUUUGAGAGGACGACCAGCCACACUGGGACUGAGACACGGCCCAGACUCCUACGGGAGGCAGCAGUGGGGAAUUUUGGACAGUGGGGGCAACCCUGAUCCAGCCAUCCCGCGUGUGCGAUGAAGGCCUUCGGGUUGUAAAGCACUUUUGGCAGGAAAGAAACGGCGCGGGCUAAUACCCCGUGGAAGUGACGGUACCUGCAGAAUAAGCACCGGCUAACUACGUG
This 484-nucleotide ribosomal RNA is filed under the name uncultured bacterium. RNAcentral describes it as "partial 16S ribosomal RNA". It matches the Rfam family "Bacterial small subunit ribosomal RNA", at positions 30 to 507 of the family's 1533-position model. The record is from RNAcentral.